RNAcentral lists this small RNA (542 nucleotides) under Pan troglodytes (chimpanzee). RNAcentral describes it as "processed transcript". Lineage: Eukaryota; Metazoa; Chordata; Mammalia; Primates; Hominidae. The record is from RNAcentral.
AGGAAAGGAGAGGGAGAGAGUGUGUGUGGAUGGAUGUGUGUUGAGAGAGAGAAUGGAUGUGUGUGUGUUUACGAAUAAACUUGGAGGGGAGGGGGCAACAGGGGUGGGUUUUCGGGCUGAGAAAUGGGAACACUGUGGGGCUGCUGCAAGCAGGACUUGGGCCUUAAACAUUCCAGGAGAGUGUUCUCGGGAGUAGCCCCGGGAAGGACUUUAACCGAGGUUAACACAGAAAUCUGCCUCCUGGGCCAUGCCGCUUCUAAGGCCUGUUUCUUCUCAUGAGCCCCAGCACAAGACAGAUGGGCCAGUUCUCACAGUGGAUAACUUCCCCUGCCUGAGCAAGAGAUGGGAUAGUAUCUGGGAUCUGUCCAUCACCAGACUCUGAGCUUAAUAAGGCAGCUGAAUGAAGGGAGAAGGUGUUGAGCUGGCGAGUUCGCGGAGGCUACUAUUCAGGAAAUCUUAUCCAGAUGGGUACACUGGAAGCUACACCUCUCCAUUACUCUGUCCGGGUGCAUGGCUGCCUCCUAAUCCCAUAGUCCAGAGGA